This 301-nucleotide ribosomal RNA is filed under the name uncultured bacterium. RNAcentral's name for it is "partial 16S ribosomal RNA". It matches the Rfam family "Bacterial small subunit ribosomal RNA", at positions 509 to 807 of the family's 1533-position model. The record is from RNAcentral.
CAGCCGCCGCGGUAAUACGAACCGUGCGAACGUUAUUCGGAAUCACUGGGCUUAAAGCGCGUGUAGGCGGGCCGUCACGUCGGCUGCUGAAAUCCCCCGGCUCAACCGGGGAAGUGGCACCGAUACGAGCGGCCUUGAGGGGGGUAGGAGGGUCUGGAACUUCCGGUGGAGCGGUGAAAUGCGUUGAGAUCGGAAGGAACGCCCGUGGCGAAAGCGAGGCCCUGGACCCUUUCUGACGCUGAGACGCGAAAGCCAGGGGAGCGAACGGGAUUAGAUACCCCCGUAGUCCCUGUCUCUUAUA